This 219-nucleotide ribosomal RNA is filed under the name Triticum aestivum (bread wheat). RNAcentral describes it as "partial small subunit ribosomal RNA". The record is from RNAcentral. Lineage: Eukaryota; Viridiplantae; Streptophyta; Magnoliopsida; Poales; Poaceae.
AUGUGUGUGCCGCCCGCUCGAGUACAGCGGGCUCGGGGUUCAGGACCUGGAGCGUGCCGGCCUAGCGCUGCACCUGCGCUGGAUGUGGUUCUCCCACACGGACGACGACCGCACAUGGCGAGGCCUCGACCUCCAGUUUUCCCGCGAGGAGCGCGCGUUGUUCUUCGCAUCGAUGACCAUGGAGCUUGGCGAUGGACAGACGGCAUUGUUCUGGGAUGA